CAGCCCUUGACAUCCCGGUCGCGGUUUCCAGAGAUGGAUUCCUUCAGUUCGGCUGGACCGGUGACAGGUGCUGCAUGGCUGUCGUCAGCUCGUGUCGUGAGAUGUUGGGUUAAGUCCCGCAACGAGCGCAACCCCCGUCCUUAGUUGCUACCAUUUAGUUGAGCACUCUAAGGAGACUGCCGGUGAUAAGCCGCGAGGAAGGUGGGGAUGACGUCAAGUCCUCAUGGCCCUUACGGGCUGGGCUACACACGUGCUACAAUGGCGGUGACAAUGGGACGCUAAGAGGCAACUCUUCGCAAAUCUCAAAAAGCCGUCUCAGUUCGGAUUGGGCUCUGCAACUCGAGCCCAUGAAGUUGGAAUCGCUAGUAAUCGUGGAUCAGCAUGCCACGGUGAAUACGUUCCCGGGCCUUGUACACACCGCCCGUCACACCAUGGGAGUUGGUUUUACCUGAAGACGGUGCGCUAACCCGCAAGGGAGGCAGCCGGCCACGGUAGGGUCAGCGACUGGGGUG
Molecule: ribosomal RNA, 512 nt
Filed under: uncultured bacterium
Lineage: Bacteria
Description: bacterial SSU rRNA
Rfam family: Bacterial small subunit ribosomal RNA
Source: RNAcentral